Molecule: RNA transcript, 5370 nt
Organism: Hipposideros armiger (great roundleaf bat)
Lineage: Eukaryota; Metazoa; Chordata; Mammalia; Chiroptera; Hipposideridae
Gene: MFAP3
Gene name: microfibril associated protein 3
Exons: 3
Source: RefSeq, a predicted model, not a curated record
UUUCCAUUGAGUGUCUUCUCACCGUCGACCACUAUAAAGAUGUCCAUUGGUACAACUCAAAAGGACAGCAGCUGGAUGACAGAGGCAGAGCGAGAAAGGCACCUGGCACCUGCAGGCUGGCUGCUGAGGACUAGACCCAGAGUGAUAAACAAGAAAAAUGCUGCCCCUGCCCUUUGGGAACCCGCAAUGUGUGGAGGAAGAUUGCAGUGACCAAUGUCUAGAGCCUUGGCUUGCACACAGGAGGCCUCAAUAAAUAUAAAGGGAAAGAGUGAAGAAAACCCAGAAACUUGGAGACAAUAGUACCUGUAGUUCUACUGAUGGCCACGAGAGGGCGCGGUUGCGUCGCAGAAUGGACGGGAAGACUCGCAGUUGCUCAUCCUUUCGUAGAGCCGUCGGUGGGAAUCAACAGGCGGGCAGCCGGGUGGCCAGGCAGGCCCCGUUGGGACGUGGAGAUGUGAUUAUCGCCUCUUAAAGCCUCGUGCCCAGCGCAAAGCCAACCUGCUCCUGGAGCUGCUCUUGGAAACCAGCCGCAGCACAUAUCCAGAAAGCUUUUGGAAGAGAAUCCAUGAGGUUAGUAAAAGCAUUUCAGCAAGUCUCCAACAGGGUUUGGUGGACACCAGCUCCUGGGGAAAGACUGGGGGAAAGGAGUAAACUUGGCCUCGUCCAGUUGGACACAGCCCUGGUCGGAAUUAGAUUGAGUGGGGUAGUCACUCCAAGUUUAAGUCCAGAAACCAAAUUUCCAAGAAUUCCAGAGGAGAUAGUUGAGGAGCCUGGCUUGAAUACAUCCCUUCCUGAAUCUGGGAUAUUCCUGGGCCCACGCUUUACUUUUUGGUCAUUAAUAUGGCCAUCUGCCUAUCCACGUGUGUGUGUGUAUAUACAGCCUAUACAGACACACACACACACACACACACACACACAUACAUACAUACACCUAAAUUCUCCAAGAGAACCAUUUUCAUUCUCUAUAACCAAAGCUCUGGGCAUGGGAAUUAAGCAAAACAAAACCAAACCUCUAGCUGUGUGACUCAUCUAACCUGUAGAAAGUGGUCACCACAUCUUCGUUCCCUACCGCAUGGAUUCGAUUUGCUGAUCGGAAGGUAAAAUAUUAUGAGAGCUCCUUGUGAACCUCCAAAAGUCAAGUUGGUUUUUCUGAUGAUGAGAAGGACUACUUAGCAUUCAUAACUGGUACUUGAAACCAGCAGGGAUUUUACCAGAAGACCCCCAAACAGCUGUGGAGCUCAGGGGAGCCACAGGUUUGUUGGCAUGUGGUUUGCAUACGAUUUAAGAAUAAUAUUAAUUACGAUAAUGGCCAAAAUAUGGAGUCCUUGCUAUGGGCCCAUAAACCCAUUCCAUACUUAAUUUCAUUUAAUCCUCUUAAUCCUUAUAACAUAAGGGCUAUUCUAAUCCUCCAUUAUAUAGAUGAGGAAACAAAGGCUCAGAGAGAUUCAAUAACUUGCCUCAAAUGACAGGCUAAUAAAUGAGAUUUGGGCCCAGUCCAUCUCCCCAAACCAGAGCUAGAGUGAGCCAGAGGGACCGUGAAAUCUGGCUCUAUUGUAAAAUGGUAGCGCCAGCCUUGGGUCUUAGGGUCAGGCAGACCUGGUGCAUAUCCCAGCUUUGCUACAUCUGAGCUGUACAAACUUGAGCAAGUGAUUUAUCUUCUCUAAGCUGCUGUUUCAUCUCUGUACAAUGAAGAUAAUAUUUUCCUUGAAGGGGUAUUGUGAUGAUUAAAUGAGAUAACGCAUAAAGCACCCAGCCAGUUCUUGUCAGAGUAGCUGUCCGUUAAAUAUUAGUCCACCCCUGACUUCUCAUGAAAGAUGAAAAAAAAAACAAAGCCCUGAGAAGCUAUUAAUAUAUGUCUUAGCUGACAUGCCCACGUGCUCCUUUAGACUUUGUGGUCAGUCCUCGGGCCAUCUCCAAAUAAGCCUUUAUCUUUGCUGCCGUUGGCAGCCAGGAAUCUUGACUUGGUUUCGUAUAGCCAUUUCCUGAUCCCCCCAAGAUCCCCCUGGAGGUGGGGCCUACCAGAAGCCUUUGCCCUGCCACCCUCCCCUCUGCCGGCCCUUCUUCCCCGCCCCUUCUCUAUAGAUUGAAAAGAAGAGAUGGGACAAGGAGAGGUUAAAAGUUCACUUGGUCAUCAAGAGAAUUAAGGCAAGGAGAAGGGCUAAUCCGGAAGGGCGAGCUGGGUGGCUUGGGUUGCGCCCGCUCUCCAAUCAAGAGCCUCUCCUCUCAGCUCUCAGCUACCCACUUAUGCGCAGCAAGAUUCACUUAGUGACACCGUCUGGAAUCUCAUUUGUCAUUGGAGCUGAAAAAGACCUCAGAGAUUAUUUCACUUGCAGCUUCAUGCUUGGUCCAUGAGGCGUCACGGGCGAUUGGAGUCACGCAUUAGCAGAGCUACCCCGGCCCCCCAGGGUCCUGGCUCCCCGGCCUCUCUGCCUCGGGCUACUUUGAUCCCCGUGACCUUGCCAGUCUCUGCAGGGUUGUUGCCCUGGAGUUUGACAUGGUCAAGGCUGCAGUGGUGGACUUUACCCUCCUGGUGCCAUCUUCUCUCCCCACCUCCCUCACUCUUGCUCUGCUGGGUGCCACUUAGGUCCCAAAGCCUAUUUUGCAGCCUCCUGGCUGCGCAGGACCCCACACUAUGGUAACCUCCUUGGGCAAAAACCCAUGUCCUAAAGCUUCUCCUCUGCCCAUUUCUCUGUCACAACCUAAGCUUUGCUACAUCCCAGCCAAAAGUAAAUCUGAGAUGGAAUAGGCUCCAGCAUGUUUACUACUAGUGAGGAACUCAAAAGGCGCUAUGGUUGUUUAGUCUUAAAACUGGUCUCCUAGAGGAGUGAAACCCUUACCCAGACGGAUGAGGCCCUUAUGGUAGAAUUCUGGGAAUUCUGAUGGAGAAUAUUCUCCCCAGCAUGCCUCCAAGUGUCUAGUUGAGAUAGCUCUCAGCAUUGCCCCCAGCUGAUACUAGCCUUGAGUUAGAGGCAUAUGUGGUUUCAAGCAAUAGACUGAUGAUGGUCUGGUGUCUUUUCUGGAUCUAAGACAUUCCUUGGUCUACUUAUCAUGCCAAACCUAAAGUUACUUAUCUCCAUUUCCUUGGAGCACUCUUUUAAUCCAUCUCUCCUUUCCACCCAGUGCCUGUAGUCAGAGGGUGAAGGAAAGUGGGGAAUUGUUGGGAGAGCAUGCUGGCUACUCCGACUACUUCUUGUAGCAACUCCAGAGGCAAUUAAAUUCACCCCUUCCUAAAACUCUCAAGCACAAAAUCCCAAAUGCCUCAUUUCCACCGGACUUUACCUCGUUCCGAAAAUCCUAAGAUCAAUAGAAGUGUUAAUUGUAAUAAUAAAAAUGGUGUUGCUGCCAGCUAUAGAUUUCCUCUUCAUGUCCUCAUGAUUCACGGUGGUCCUGAGGGCUGAAUAGAACCCAGUGGUCAAGAGCUGGGACGACCACAUGUCCCUGUUUCUGCCUGCUCUCCUGGCAUAAUUAAUAAGAGUGCCUUUCACUCUCCAAAGUGUCCUUGGACGAUAGACUAUAGUCAUCCUCUUACAAGCAUGGGCUUUGGAGCGAAUUUCACCUGGAUUCAGACCUCAGUCCUGCUUCUUGAUAGCUGAGUGACGUUGGACAAGUUACUCAAGACCUCUGAGCCUCAGUUUCCAAAUCUGCAGAAAGAGGAUACUGUUAGCCUCCAGCUGAGAGGGUCUGGAGGGACUGGCCUCACACAGCGCCAGGCACAUGGUAAGAGUGCAGAACGAGUUAGCUCUGAUUCCAGCACUGCAGAGCAUCCAUGUACCGCCUUCUCAUUUGUGUGUUCAGCUUGGGGGGGAUGGAGAGUCCUGUGAGGAAUAUUUUGCACUGAAGACACACACCUGGACUUGUAGCUAGACAGCCUACCUGCCAACGCUGUGACCCUGGGCAAUCGGAAGGCCCUUGCAGAGCCCUGUCUUGCUCAUUUGCGCAAUGGGGAUAGCAAUCUCAGGGUUGUUGUGAAGAGAAAAUGAGAAAAAAGUAUUGGAAAGCACUGGGCCCUCUGUGUGAAAUCGAUAAAGGCUUCUGCUUCUUCGUACAUUUGGGGAAAGUGAGGUGCAGAAAGGUGAGAAGAUCUGCCCAGGUGCACAGCUCGGCUUCACAGGUGAAACAGAGCAGGUCAGGCCCUGUGCACGUGCCACUCUAUCUUCUGAUCUCAGGACUCUAUUCUCCCUCCUCCUUGGGUCCCAAUUGUGCCCUAAACCAUCAGUAUCGUUUUCAACUCUAAAUUGUUCCCUCUUAAGCUCUCCCCUCCUUUAUCACGGAGACUAGAAACAGGAAAAGGAAGCAUCAGGAUGACAUGCAGCUGGCCCUAGGGUUUCUGGAUUAGAACCAAAUUUCAUGUGCGUGGAACUGAUGUCAGUUUGCUGGCUAUGUGACAUUGGGCAAUUACUCUACCCUGCUGAGCUGCAAUUUUCUCGUGUGUAAAAAGAAAAUGAUACCCCUUGCAGGGUGAGUGGCAAACACAAGAUUCUGACUCCCCAUGCUUUUAACCCUGAUUCUACCUCAAGUUCAGGACCUGUUCAGUCCCAUGGCCAUUUGGGGACCAGUUAAGAUGAUGGCAGGCAGUAAGAAUAGAAUCUACAUUUCAGGUGUCUGAGAUUGACUUCAAAAGUUUGGGAUUUGUGCUAAGGUAGGAGAUAUGAUGCCAUCUCAUACAGGUAGGUAUUUUAUUCAAAAUAGUCUACAAAGCAUUUGGACUGUUUUUGUGUUCCAUACCUGUAAUUCUCUAGCACAGACUGCAGCCUGCAGGCAAAAUCCAGCCUGCCACCUAUUUUUAUAAGUGGAGUUUUAUUGGCACGUGGCCAUACCUGUUUAUGUACUGCCUGUGGCCAUUUUCUCACCACAUGACAGAGUGAAGUAGUUGCAACACAGACAAUACAGACAACAAAGGUUAAAAUAUUUACUAUCUGAUCCCUUCCAAAUAAGGAUAACAAUCCUCUUACAGAGUAUAAGAUCAUUUAAGGUUUAAUAAUGCUAAUUACAAUAAUACCUGAUGCUAUUGUGUGCUUGCUCCAUUCUCAGUAUUGUUCUAAGGAUUGCAUAUGUUCUAUCUAAUUUAAUACUUGAAACAAUCCCAGGGUAUACCCACUAUUAUUCCCAUUUUAUGAGUGGGGAGACUGAGGUAGAAAAAGGUUGUCACUUGCUCAAAGUCUUGUAGCCUAUAAGUGGCACCGUUGGGGUUCUAACCCAGGUAGUGUAAAGUAUUAGAUGUCGUUUACAACUUUCACACCUAUUUCCCUUUCCUGAUCAACUUAGCAUGAUAUGAGAGACAAUUUUAGGUGGUCCCCAAACACAUUAAAAAGCAUCUCCUGGGCCAGCCGAGUGGUGCGUUGGUUAAGGGUUGGCUUGGGAUGCCAGCUC